Molecule: long non-coding RNA, 226 nt
Filed under: Capsicum annuum
Lineage: Eukaryota; Viridiplantae; Streptophyta; Magnoliopsida; Solanales; Solanaceae
Description: long non-coding RNA (CANN_LNC000456)
Source: RNAcentral
CGGGGGCGUAGGCACUAAUAACGUUCACAGUAGACCCUCCCAUGACCAACUUAAUAGACAUCAGUCUAUUACUAACUCUCUUUACCUCUACCACUUGCUCCCUAAGAUCCUUAUCUACUAAGAUACCUACCCCAUUUCUAUGUCUCACGCUACCCGAGUGCCACAACUUAUAUCUAUCCACAUCUCUCGCUUUAUUGCCUACCUAUUUAGUUUCCUGGACACACGC